GGAGGGUUAGUUUAAGGGAUAAAACUGCGGUCUUCUAAAUCGCCAAUGGCGGUUCGAAUCCGCCACUCUUCA
RNAcentral lists this transfer RNA (72 nucleotides) under Chloroparvula pacifica. RNAcentral describes it as "tRNA-Arg". It matches the Rfam family "tRNA". Rfam says of the family: Transfer RNA (tRNA) molecules are approximately 80 nucleotides in length. Their secondary structure includes four short double-helical elements and three loops (D, anti-codon, and T loops). Lineage: Eukaryota; Viridiplantae; Chlorophyta; Chloropicophyceae; Chloropicales; Chloropicaceae. The record is from RNAcentral.